This 690-nucleotide ribosomal RNA is filed under the name uncultured fungus. RNAcentral describes it as "eukaryotic LSU rRNA". The stretch from base 268 to 418 matches the Rfam family "5.8S ribosomal RNA". Lineage: Eukaryota; Fungi. The record is from RNAcentral.
UCUUGGUCAUUUAGAGGAAGUAAAAGUCGAACAAGGUUUCCGUAGGUGAACCUGCGGAAGGAUCAUUAGUGAAUCUUCAAGUCGGCUCGUCGGAUUGUGCUGGUGGAGACACAUGUGCACGUCUGCGGUCGCAAACCCACACACCUGUGCAUCUAUGACUCUGAGUGCCGCUUUGCUGGCCCCUUGAUUUGGGCCUGGCGCUCGAGUACUUUCACACACUCUCGAUGUAAUGGAAUGUCUUGUUGUGCAUAACGUACAAACAGAAACAACUUUCACAACGGAUCUCUUGGCUCUCGCAUCGAUGAAGAACGCAGCGAAAUGCGUAAGUAAUGUGAAUUGCAGAAUUCAGUGAAUCAUCGAAUCUUUGAACGCCCUUGCACCCUUUGGUAUUCCGAAGGGUACGCCCGUUUGAGUGUCAUUGAAUCUCACUACGAUCGACUUUUGUCUUUUCGUAUGUGGACUUGGAUGUGCCGUGAAUAAACAAACGGCUCGUCUGAAAUGCCUGAGUGUACCCCGCUUGCGGCGUAUUCGGUGUGAUAAAUCUUCACCGGAGUUGAUCCCUUUAUGGGUCGCGUCUGUAAUGGUGUGGCUCUAUGCUUCGAACCGUCUCCUAUCGGACAAAUCUCUGACAAUUUGACCUCAAAUCGGGUGGGACUACCCGCUGACUUAAGCAUAUCAAUAAGCGGAGGA